RNAcentral lists this ribosomal RNA (459 nucleotides) under uncultured bacterium. RNAcentral's name for it is "bacterial SSU rRNA". It matches the Rfam family "Bacterial small subunit ribosomal RNA", at positions 340 to 789 of the family's 1533-position model. The record is from RNAcentral.
UACGGGAGGCAGCAGUGGGGAAUAUUGCACAAUGGGCGAAAGCCUGAUGCAGCUAUGCCGCGUGUAUGAAGAAGGCCUUAGGGUUGUAAAGUACUUUCAUCGGGGAGGAAAAAACAAAACUAAUAAUUUUAUUUCUUGACGUUACCCGAAAAAGAAGCACCGGCUAACUCCGUGCCAGCAGCCGCGGUAAUACGGAGGGUGCUAGCGUUAAUCAGAAUUACUGGGCGUAAAGAGCACGUAGGUGGUUUUUUUAAGUCAGAUGUGAAAUCCCUGGGCUUAACCUAGGAACUGCAUUUUGAAACUGAAAUACUAGAGUAUCGUAGAGGGAGGUAGAAUUCUAGGUGUAGCGGUGAAAUGCGUAGAUAUCUGGAGGAAUACCUGUGGCGAAAGCGGCCUCUUAAACGAAUACUGACACUGAGGUGCGAAAGCGUGGGGAGCAAACAGGGAUUAGAUACCCGU